RNAcentral lists this long non-coding RNA (448 nucleotides) under Gallus gallus (chicken). The record is from RNAcentral. Lineage: Eukaryota; Metazoa; Chordata; Aves; Galliformes; Phasianidae.
GCCCUCUCCAGACCAUAUGAAUGAAGAGUUCCUCUGCAUUUCCUAGCUUCCAGCUGUCUUGCUCCUGGUUGUCUUGUCUCAAAAUCCUAUUUGUCCAAGAGCAGAGAUAGCUGCUGUUGCCCAUGUGUUUAUGUGAAUGAUUUAUAAAUAGCACCAACCGCAGAUGAACAAAUGUUUAGAUUUAUUUUUCCUACACUGUAAACUGUAGGUAGUGAAAGACUGUUCUUGCACAAAUUCUGGGGAAAUACAUCUGCCCAUGCCCAACACAACAGUAAUACACUCAGGAAACAUUAUGUAUACAUUCAUGACAUUCAGAAAUGCUGGAUUUUUUUAUUAAAAUUGGUUACAAAUAUACAGAAAGAAACGUUACUUAUUUUGCCAAUGUUCCUCUUCACUGCAACCAUAGCCACAGCAGAGCAUAGGUAUAACAUGGAGGCUCAAUCCCUGC